AUUCUUGUAGUUGAAUGACAACGGUGGUUUUUCAAGCCAUUAGUCUGGGUUCAAAUCCCGGCAGGAAUA
Seriola dumerili (greater amberjack) is the source of this 69-nucleotide non-coding RNA. NCBI's taxonomy places the organism in Eukaryota, Metazoa, Chordata, Actinopteri, Carangiformes, Carangidae. The record is from Ensembl.